UGGGGAAUUUUGGACAAUGGGCGAAAGCCUGAUCCAGCAAUGCCGCGUGUGUGAAGAAGGCCUUCGGGUUGUAAAGCACUUUUGUCCGGAAAGAAAUCCUUGGCUCUAAUACAGUCGGGGGAUGACGGUACUGGAAGAAUAAGCACCGGCUAACUACGUGCCAGCAGCCGCGGCAAUACGUAGGGUGCAAGCGUUAAUCGGAAUUACUGGGCGUAAAGCGUGCGCAGGCGGUUUGCUAAGACCGAUGUGAAAUCCCCGGGCUCAACCUGGGAACUGCAUUGGUGACUGGCAGGCUAGAGUAUGGCAGAGGGGGGUAGAAUUCCACGUGUAGCAGUGAAAUGCGUAGAGAUGUGGAGGAAUACCGAUGGCGAAGGCAGCCCCCUGGGCCAAAUACUGACGCUCAUGCACGAAAGCGUGGGGAGCAAACAGGAUUAGAUACCCUGGUAGUCCACGCCCUAAACGAUGUCAACUAGUUGUUGGGGAUUCAUUUCCUUAGUAACGUAGCUAACGCGUGAAGUUGACCGCCUGGGGGAGUACGGUCGCAAGAUUAAAACUCAAAUGAAUUGACGGGGUCAUAGCUGUUUCCU
This 587-nucleotide ribosomal RNA is filed under the name uncultured bacterium. RNAcentral's name for it is "partial 16S ribosomal RNA". It matches the Rfam family "Bacterial small subunit ribosomal RNA", at positions 355 to 1375 of the family's 1533-position model. The record is from RNAcentral.